UAGUUUUGGUCAAAGUCAAACUUUGUAAACUUUGGCCAAGUUUAUAGAAAGAAAUAUGAACAUUUACAAUAACAAAUCUAUAUGAUGUGAAAAUAUAUCCAAUAAUGAAUCUAAUGGUAUCGAUUUGUUUCUGUAUAUGUUAAUAUUUUUGUCUAUAAGCUUUGUCAAAGUUUACAAAGUUUGACUUUGACCAAAGCCAA
This 200-nucleotide microRNA precursor is filed under the name Triticum aestivum (bread wheat). Its description in RNAcentral is "MIR1435 microRNA precursor family". It matches the Rfam family "MIR1435 microRNA precursor family". Lineage: Eukaryota; Viridiplantae; Streptophyta; Magnoliopsida; Poales; Poaceae. The record is from Rfam by way of RNAcentral.